Molecule: ribosomal RNA, 118 nt
Organism: Theropithecus gelada (gelada)
Lineage: Eukaryota; Metazoa; Chordata; Mammalia; Primates; Cercopithecidae
Source: Ensembl
GUCUACAGCCAUGCCACCUUGAAUGCACCUGAUCUCGUCUGAUCUCAGAAGCUAGCUAAACAGGGUUGGACCUGGUUAGUACUUGGAUGGGAAAAAUAGAGAACAUAUUUUUUAAAAG